This 278-nucleotide ribosomal RNA is filed under the name uncultured prokaryote. RNAcentral describes it as "partial 16S ribosomal RNA". It matches the Rfam family "Bacterial small subunit ribosomal RNA", at positions 11 to 284 of the family's 1533-position model. The record is from RNAcentral. RNAcentral also lists the same sequence under 1 other name.
GUUUGAUCAUGGCUCAGGAUGAACGCUAGCGGCAGGCUUAACACAUGCAAGUCGAGGGGUAACAGAGGUAGCUUGCUACUUGCUGACGACCGGCGCACGGGUGCGUAACGCGUAUAGAAUCUACCUUAUAGUAAAGGAUAGCCCAGAGAAAUUUGGAUUAAUACUUUAUAGUAUCAAAAGACAGCAUUGUUUUAUGAUUAAAGAUUUAUCGCUAUAAGAUGACUAUGCGUUCUAUUAGCUAGUUGGUAUGGUAACGGCAUACCAAGGCUACGAUAGAU